RNAcentral lists this ribosomal RNA (455 nucleotides) under uncultured Anaerolineaceae bacterium. RNAcentral describes it as "bacterial SSU rRNA". It matches the Rfam family "Bacterial small subunit ribosomal RNA", at positions 921 to 1377 of the family's 1533-position model. The record is from RNAcentral. Lineage: Bacteria; Bacillati; Chloroflexota; Anaerolineae; Anaerolineales; Anaerolineaceae.
UUGACGGGGCCGCACAGCGGUGGAGCAUGUGGUUUAAUUCGAUGCAACGCGAAGAACCUUACCUGGGUUUGACAUAGAGGUAGUAGGGAAGCGAAAGCGGACCGACCUUCGGGAGCCUCUACAGGUGUUGCAUGGCUGUCGUCAGCUCGUGUCGUGAGAUGUUCGGUUAAGUCCGCUAACGAGCGCAACCCUCGCUGUGUGUUACAAGUGUCACACGGUACUGCCGAUAUUAAGUCGGAGGAAGGUGGGGAUGACGUCAAGUCAGCAUGACCUUUAUAUCCAGGGCUACACACACGCUACAAUGGCCAGUACAAUGGGUUGCCAAGCCGCGAGGCGGAGCCAAUCCUAAAAAGCUGGCCUCAGUUCAGAUUGCAGUCUGCAACUCGACUGCAUGAAGUUGGAGUUGCUAGUAACCGCAGGUCAGCAAUACUGCGGUGAAUACGUUCCCGGGGAUU